Molecule: ribosomal RNA, 497 nt
Filed under: uncultured bacterium
Lineage: Bacteria
Description: partial 16S ribosomal RNA
Rfam family: Bacterial small subunit ribosomal RNA
Source: RNAcentral
GAUGAACGCUGGCGGCGUGCCUAAUACAUGCAAGUCGAGCGAACAGACGAGGAGCUUGCUCCUCUGACGUUAGCGGCGGACGGGUGAGUAACACGUGGAUAACCUACCUAUAAGACUGGGAUAACUUCGGGAAACCGGAGCUAAUACCGGAUAAUAUAUUGAACCGCAUGGUUCAAUAGUGAAAGACGGUUGUGCGGUCACGUAUAGAUGGAUACGGGCCGCAUGAGCUAGUUGGUAAGGUAACGGCUUACCAAGGCAACGAUGCGUAGCCGACCGGAGAGGGUGGUCGGCCACCUGGGAACGGAAACACGGUCCAUGCUCCUACGGGAGGCAGCAGUAGGGAAUCUUCCGCAAUGGGCGAAAGCCUGACGGAGCAACGCCGCGUGAGUGAUGAAGGUCUUCGGAUCGUAAAACUCUGUUAUUAGGGAAGAACAAAUGUGUAAGUAACUAUGCACGUCUUGACGGUACCUAAUCAGAAAGCCACGGCUAACUACGUG